This 29-nucleotide non-coding RNA is filed under the name Mus musculus (house mouse). Lineage: Eukaryota; Metazoa; Chordata; Mammalia; Rodentia; Muridae. The record is from RNAcentral.
UAAAAUAAUGGUGGAGAUGAUUGCAUGUA